GAUGAAGAACGUAGCGAAAUGCGAUAAGUAAUGUGAAUUGCAGAAUUCAGUGAAUCAUCGAAUCUUUGAACGCACAUUGCGCCCCUUGGUAUUCCGAGGGGCAUGCCUGUUCGAGCGUCAUUAUAACCCCUCAAGCUCAGCUUGGUGUUGGGGCCUGCUGCACUGGCAGCCCUUAAGAUCAGUGGCGGCGCCAUCUGGCUCUAAGCGUAGUAAUUCUUCUCGCUAUGGAGUCCUGGUGGAUGCUUGCCAUCAACCCCCAAUUUUUCUAUGGUUGACCUCGGAUCAGGUAGGGAUACCCGCUGAACUUAAGCAUAUCAAUAAGCGGAGGA
This 329-nucleotide unclassified non-coding RNA is filed under the name soil metagenome. Its description in RNAcentral is "partial contains 5.8S ribosomal RNA, internal transcribed spacer 2, and large subunit ribosomal RNA". The stretch from base 1 to 120 matches the Rfam family "5.8S ribosomal RNA", at positions 35 to 154 of the family's 154-position model. The record is from RNAcentral.